RNAcentral lists this transfer RNA (72 nucleotides) under Camelus ferus (Wild Bactrian camel). It matches the Rfam family "tRNA". Rfam says of the family: Transfer RNA (tRNA) molecules are approximately 80 nucleotides in length. The record is from Rfam by way of RNAcentral. Lineage: Eukaryota; Metazoa; Chordata; Mammalia; Artiodactyla; Camelidae.
GGAGAUAUAGCUCAGUGGUAGAGCACGUACUUCACAUACUUCACAUCCUGAGUUCAAUCCCCAGUAACUCUA